This 510-nucleotide ribosomal RNA is filed under the name uncultured Glomus. RNAcentral's name for it is "SSU rRNA". It matches the Rfam family "Eukaryotic small subunit ribosomal RNA", at positions 569 to 1082 of the family's 1831-position model. Lineage: Eukaryota; Fungi; Glomeromycota; Glomeromycetes; Glomerales; Glomeraceae. The record is from RNAcentral.
AGCAGCCGCGGUAAUUCCAGCUCCAAUAGCGUAUAUUAAAGUUGUUGCAGUUAAAAAGCUCGUAGUUGAAUUUCGGGAUCAAUUUAUUGGUCGUGCUAUUGUACGUACUGGUAUUAUUGAUUUCUACCUUCUGACGAACCAUGAUGUCAUUAAUUUGGUGUCUUGGGGAAUCAGGACUGUUACUUUGAAAAAAUUAGAGUGUUUAAAGCAGGCUCACGCUUGAAUACAUUAGCAUGGAAUAACGAAAUAGGACGUUUGAUUCUAUUUUGUGGUUUCUAGGAUCGACGUAAUGAUUAAUAGGGAUAGUUGGGGGCAUUAGUAUUCAAUUGUCAGAGGUGAAAUUCUUGGAUUUAUUGAAGACUAACUACUGCGAAAGCAUUUGCCAAGGAUGUUUUCAUUAAUCAAGAACGAAAGUUAGGGGAUCGAAGACGAUCAGAUACCGUCGUAGUCUUAACCAUAAACUAUGCCGACUAGGGAUCGGAUGAUGUUAAUUUUUAAUGUACUCAUUCG